Molecule: ribosomal RNA, 492 nt
Filed under: uncultured bacterium
Lineage: Bacteria
Description: partial 16S ribosomal RNA
Rfam family: Bacterial small subunit ribosomal RNA
Source: RNAcentral
AGUGAACGCUGGCGGUAGGCCUAACACAUGCAAGUCGAACGGCAGCACAGUAAGAGCUUGCUCUUACGGGUGGCGAGUGGCGGACGGGUGAGGAAUACAUCGGAAUCUACUUUUUCGUGGGGGAUAACGUAGGGAAACUUACGCUAAUACCGCAUACGACCUACGGGUGAAAGCAGGGGAUCUUCGGACCUUGCGCGAUUGAAUUAGCCGAUGUCGGAUUAGCUAGUUGGCGGGGUAAAGGCCCACCAAGGCGACGAUCCGUAGCUGGUCUGAGAGGAUGAUCAGCCACCCUGGAACUGAGACACGGUCCAGACUCCUACGGGAGGCCGCAGUGGGGAAUAUUGGACAAUGGGCGCAAGCCUGAUCCAGCCAUACCGCGUGGGUGAAGAAGGCCUUCGGGUUGUAAAGCCCUUUUGUUGGGAAAGAAAAGCAGCAGGUUAAUACGCCGCUGUUCUGACGGUACCCAAAGAAUAAGCACCGGCUAACUUCGUG